This 307-nucleotide ribosomal RNA is filed under the name uncultured bacterium. RNAcentral describes it as "partial 16S ribosomal RNA". It matches the Rfam family "Bacterial small subunit ribosomal RNA", at positions 506 to 807 of the family's 1533-position model. The record is from RNAcentral.
AGACAGCAGUAGCCACGGUAAUACGAAGGGGGCUAGCGUUGCUCGGAAUUACUGGGCGUAAAGGGCGCGUAGGCGGAUGUUUAAGUCAGAGGUGAAAGCCCAGGGCUCAACCUUGGAACUGCCUUUGAUACUGGACAUCUUGAGUGUGGGAGAGGUGAGUGGAACUCCGAGUGUAGAGGUGAAAUUCGUAGAUAUUCGGAAGAACACCAGUGGCGAAGGCGACUCACUGGCCCAUUACUGACGCUGAGGCGCGAAAGCGUGGGGAGCAAACAGGAUUAGAUACCCCUGUAGUCCCUGUCUCUUAUAC